RNAcentral lists this long non-coding RNA (1453 nucleotides) under Camelus dromedarius (Arabian camel). RNAcentral describes it as "lncRNA (ENSCDRG00005015454.1)". Lineage: Eukaryota; Metazoa; Chordata; Mammalia; Artiodactyla; Camelidae. The record is from RNAcentral.
CCCCAAUUUCACAGCUUGGAGGCGGAGGCUGGAAGAGCUGACCAGCCCCAAAGCUAGUCAGUGAAGGCAUCUCGCUCCCUUCUACAAAGGGAGAGCCCAGGUGAGUUUUAGAGGCUUGGUCCGGGUGAGGUAAGACCCAGCCGUCAUUGUUCUCAGGGACCAUCCCAGCACAUCCUCUGUUUCCUCUCUGGGGCCAGUUUCUCCAGCUAUGAAAGGAUGGUAAUUAUAGGUGCCCCGCAGCUGGCUUUGUGAGUAGGAAAUGAGAAGCUCUAUAUGAAAGCAGGUCCAGUUUAUGGAGCAAAAACACCCCCAUAAAAUCCAGGGCGAUGCUGUCAUUAUAAACGUUUAAGCCCAUUUGCCACAUGAAUGGUGGGCAAAGUCACGGCUUCGUCACCCACGCUUCAGGAGGCCAGUCCUCGGGGUCCCUCCAAAAGCAGGCAAGCAGGUGCCGGGCACCUCCCCGCAGGUCAGGGAUGGGUUUCCUAGGCCUCCUCCUCCUCCUCCUCUCCGCCCCCCUCCCCCAUGCUGCUAGGCCCCCAGGGCUCAGCCCCUCCUACAGAUGCUCUUUCCAGAUGCCUAGGACCCGGCCUCCACCGCUACCCCCAGCUCCCAUGUCCUGGGCUCCUCACGACCCGCUGGAGCAUCCCAGAACCUCUCCAGAGAAUGGCCCUGCUCCAGGGCUGUGAGCUGCCCUCCUCCGCCACCUGGGCAUCCCAGACCCCACCAAGGGCCACACAGCACCGUGCAGACAACAGGAGGGAAGGGGGCCAACUGAGCCUCCCUGCCCCAGAAUAGACUUUGAAGAGUUCUGGGGAGAAGGUGGGUUUUCCCCUUUUCUCUUUAUGUCUAAAACGGAGCAGCUCUUCUGGCUGCUGGGCAGGGUGGUGGGGGAGGGGAGCCGACAUCCUCCAGCCACGUGUCAUUUCCUGCUUUGGGCGUGAUGUCACUGCCAAUGACAGAGCCUCUCCCUCUCCCAAGGCACUCUGGGCUGAUGAUGACAACAUUCAGACUGGAGAGGGAAGGUGAAGCCUGGGCCUGCGUUUUACUGAAGGUCUCAGGCUCCCGUCUCUCAGUCUGCCUGCCCGCCCCUCUCCUGCCUUCACUGAGAGCCUUCGAGUGCCCUCUGCAUGCGUGGUACUCCGGUGGUGGUGCCAUCUCUUAAGAGAGAGAUGUGAUCUAGUUGAAAUAUAUUUAGUGGGGGUCCCAAAAUUUUGAGAUCAGUUUCCCCUGUAGAAUAAUGGAAACCCAAGAACCAUCCCAGCAGUAAAAUUGUAUCAGUCAUUCUGCAACAGUAUCACGUUCUCUUCUUCUGUGCCCUCAGAGAAGGCCCAGGGGACAAGCCAUCUCAGUCUCUCCUUCCUGUGACACUUACGUAAAAGAGCCCUGUCUGCUUCUUUGACUGAGUGCACACAUCCAGGUUUAUAAUAAAAGCAUCUCUUUAUGAAGAUGGAGG